GGACUACCGGGGUAUCUAAUCCUGUUCGCUCCCCACGCUUUCGCUCCUCAGCGUCAGUAUCGGCCCAGAGACCCGCCUUCGCCACCGGUGUUCCUCCUGAUAUCUGCGCAUUUCACCGCUACACCAGGAAUUCCAGUCUCCCCUACCGAACUCAAGCCUGCCCGUAUCAGCUGCAAGCCCACAGUUGAGCUGCGGGUUUUCACAGCUGACGCAACAAGCCGCCUACGAGCUCUUUACGCCCAAUAAAUCCGGACAACGCUCGCGCCCUACGUCUUACCGCGGCUGCUGGCAC
This 292-nucleotide ribosomal RNA is filed under the name uncultured bacterium. RNAcentral describes it as "partial 16S ribosomal RNA". The record is from RNAcentral.